AACAAACCGUUCUACAAACCAACAUAAGGUGGGUUGGCGUUUAUGCGCUAAGGUUUACACAUACUCCCGGGAAAGGAACUCGGCAAAUUACUAGCGUGACUUCGGAGGAAGCUAGACUUAAAAGUGGAUAGUAUUUACUUUUAAGUGUCACAUAAUCGAGGGUGGUGACUAUUUAAUAAAAAUACAGGACUUUGCUAAGUAGAAAUACUAUGUAUAAAGUCUGACGUCUGCCCGGUACGGGGAGAUAAUGUAUUACUGUGAAAGCAGUGUAUAAUAAGGACCCGUAAACGGCAGCCAUAACUCUGAUGGUUCUAAGGUGAGCGAAAUUCCUUGGCCUAUAAUUGAGGUCCUGCAUGAAUGACGUCACGACUGCCCUACUGUCUCUCCCGGGACGUGGGCGAAUUUGACAUUCUCGUGAAGAGGCGAGAAACCUAGCGCGGGACAACGAGACCCUAUGCACCUUUACUCUAGGCUAUUGAAAUCUUUUGGUAUAGAAUUUUUCAGAAUAGGUGGAAGCAAUCCUUUUAAGUUGCGUCAAGUGAGAUACCACCAUUUUCUGUAUAAAAGAAAGUAAAAAGUAUACUAUAGAACAAUCUUUUUGUACUUUUUUCAAAGAUAGCUUGGGAGUUUUUCUGGGGCGGAAGCCUCCAAAAAAGUAUCGGGGGCGUGCCAAGGUUCGGAAAAUCUAUGUAUAUAGAAUUUUUAAAAUGACAACCCAUAAACCGAGCCUGACUGUGAGGAAUACCUUCCGAGCAGACACGAAAGUGGGCGGUAGUGAACCAGCAAAAAGAAGUGGAAUUUUUGUUGAUCAACGGAUUAAAGGUACGCUAGGGAUAACAGGUUUAUUUUCUCCAAGAGUUCAUAUCGACGAGAAAGGUUGACACCUCGAUGUCGGCUCAUCGCAUCCUCCUGCUGCAGAAGGUAGGAAGGGUUAGACUGUUCGUCUAUUAAAGCGGUACGUGAGCUGGGUUUAUUCCGUCGUGAGACAGGAAGGUUCUUCUCUGCGCUAGGUAUAAUGACCAUCAUAUAGACCCUUUAGUACGAAAGGACCUGGGGGUCCGCACCUCUGAUCUACCAGUUGUUUUGCAAAAAGCACCGCUGGGCAGUUAAGUGCGCAGACAGUAUGGCUGAAAGCAUCUGAAGCCAGAAAGUCGUAUGUAGACAAGUCUCUAAUAAACGCUAGAGUCUAUAGCGAAAAUCGGUGUUUGGUUAACUAACGUGAGUUAUGGCCAGAACAUACGAAA
RNAcentral lists this ribosomal RNA (1244 nucleotides) under Chlorotetraedron incus. RNAcentral's name for it is "LSU rRNA". It matches the Rfam family "Bacterial large subunit ribosomal RNA", at positions 1636 to 2905 of the family's 2925-position model. The record is from RNAcentral. Lineage: Eukaryota; Viridiplantae; Chlorophyta; Chlorophyceae; Sphaeropleales; Neochloridaceae.